This 447-nucleotide ribosomal RNA is filed under the name uncultured bacterium. RNAcentral's name for it is "partial 16S ribosomal RNA". It matches the Rfam family "Bacterial small subunit ribosomal RNA", at positions 330 to 793 of the family's 1533-position model. The record is from RNAcentral.
UCCAGACUCCUACGGGAGGCAGCAGUGGGGGAUAUUGCACAAUGGGGGGAACCCUGAUGCAGCGACGCCGCGUGGGUGAAGGAGCGUUUCGGCGCGUAAAGCCCUCUCGGCAGGGAAGAAGGAGGACGGUACCUGACUAAGAAGCCCCGGCUAACUACGUGCCAGCAGCCGCGGUAAUACGUAGGGGGCAAGCGUUAUCCGGAUUUACUGGGUGUAAAGGGGGCGCAGACGGCAGCGCAAGCCAGGAGUGAAAGCCCGGGGCCCAACCCCGGGACUGCUCUUGGAACUGCGCGGCUGGAGUGCAGGAGGGGCAGGCGGAAUUCCUGGUGUAGCGGUGAAAUGCGUAGAUAUCAGGAGGAACACCGGUGGCGAAGGCGGCCUGCUGGACUGCGACUGACGUUGAGGCCCGAAAGCGUGGGGAGCAAACAGGAUUAGAUACCCCCGUAU